CGAGCAGAUUUUUUUUUUUAUUUAGAUCUAUGAUCAUCAAAUCAAAACCACGGAUCAACAUUUAUAACUUACCUUAGCAUGAUGAUUUCUUCUCUCAAUAUUUUCACUUGGUUGCUGAUGCAAUUCUCAGAGGCUUCUUCUAUUGUUUAGUGGUUUGAACUUUUCAUGGUAUAGUGGUUGUUGUACGUCCAAUUUCUAUCCACUACUACAAUCUUGCAGGCUCAGCAACUUAUGGCUUCAUUAUCUUGGUACCUCCAAUAAUGGCGCAAAGAGUCUGCAUUGAUAUUAGUCAAAAGUCACGGAUUUCACAAGAAGAUAUUAUAUCAGAAAUCAAUCUCUUGUAACUAAUUCUACAUUUUCACAAUGCUCAGUAGAUGAAAACUGAUGUUUUGUUGUCGCUAUGACGCAUGACCUUUACCAGUUUCUGUGUAUAUUAACUCUUUGUUCGUUUUGAAGUUUGAUCUCUAUUUCUUUCUAAUCCAGAGAGAUGAACAAGAGAACCUGAAAAAGCAUAUUGGUGGUUUUUCCAUUGGUUUUCAAUUUGGUUUCAAAAUCUUUAAUGUUCUUCGUACGGGGCUUUCAACAAUGGUGGAAGAAUGAGUAUGACGCGUGUCUAUCCAAAUAAAAUCAUAUACAUAAGUAGAACCAAGAUUUGAAGUAUUAAAGUUUUUUUUUGAUAGAUUUUGAAGCAUCAAUAUUUUAAAGUGACAAUUUUCGGAAG
Long non-coding RNA from Papaver somniferum (opium poppy), 721 nucleotides. RefSeq lists it as uncharacterized. The record is from RefSeq and is a predicted model, not a curated record. The transcript has 3 exons. NCBI's taxonomy places the organism in Eukaryota, Viridiplantae, Streptophyta, Magnoliopsida, Ranunculales, Papaveraceae.